CCCAAGAUGGUCCCGUGCCAAGUUACCCACCUUACACAAUAAACAAAGAAAUUGGACAAGCGGAAGUGAAAACCCAUUUGAAACCCUGUGCUAGGGUUUCGUGGGCCGCAUCUAUAUAUAGUACAUGAUGGGACUCACUCCAUUCUGAGUUGAUUCCGGAGGCUUGAGAGAGAAGUCACGGGUGUGGGAGACUUGGAAAGAAAAUAAGCGAAAGAUAUGAAUAUAUUUUCUCAGGAAUUUUCUUUCCAAUGCCUCCCAUACCCUUGAUUUUCUCCUUCGUUUUUCUUCCAUCACAACACCUUCAUAUAUAUCUUCUGCAUCUUCUUGCUUCUGCUUCAAUGGGAGAAGUCACAGGUAUGGGUGGUUUGGAAAGAAAUAGGAGAAUGUUUAUGCAUAUAUAGCCACACAAAUACGUAUAUAUAUAUAUAUACCACUGAAUUUUUCUCUGUUUUUUUUCCUAUGCCUCCCAUACCCUUGAUCUUCUUCCCCUUCACAUAAUCUUCAAAUAUGGAUCACAACGAUUUCAGGAUCAGCAACUUCUUCUUCUUCUUGAGGAUCUGAUCAUGUUUGGGUCGGUGUUUGAGGUUUUGUAAUCUGAUUGUUUGUGGAAUCCAUUAGCUGCUAGAUUCUUUCUCUUGCUCAACUGUGGAGCUUUAAUUUUAUGUCUGGUUGCAGCAGAAGCUUUAGAGAGAGAUAAAUGGCUGCCAAGUUGUAGUCUGUGAAAUCUGAGGUCGACCGACAGAGAAAUGAAAUUCUUUAAAGUGAUCCUGAACCAAAAAUAUUUUUGUGGCUCGAUUUUAUUUUUUAAGAAUCUUAUCCACUCGUGGACAUGCCUUCAAUUUCAAGCAAUGUCUUUAGGUGCUUAUAGACUGUUUAUUGACAGUAUCCUCUUCCAUUAAUAAUGAGAUUUGAUUUCACGGCUUGAUUUGAUGUAUUAAAAAGAUUCUGGUUAACUACUGGACCAACUGUUAGCCUGAA
Long non-coding RNA from Prosopis cineraria, 978 nucleotides. RefSeq lists it as uncharacterized. Lineage: Eukaryota; Viridiplantae; Streptophyta; Magnoliopsida; Fabales; Fabaceae. The transcript has 2 exons. The record is from RefSeq and is a predicted model, not a curated record.